UGCGUAGGUGGUUUUGCAAGUCAGAAGUGAAAGGCUACGGCUCAACCGUAGUAAGCUUUUGAAACUGCAAGACUAGAGUGCAGGAGAGGUAAGUGGAAUUCCUAGUGUAGAGGUGAAAUUCGUAGAUAUUAGGAGGAACACCAGUGGCGAAGGCGACUUACUGGACUGUAACUGACACUGAGGCACGAAAGCGUGGGGAGCAAACAGGAUUAGAUACCCUGGUAGUCC
This 228-nucleotide ribosomal RNA is filed under the name uncultured bacterium. Its description in RNAcentral is "partial 16S ribosomal RNA". It matches the Rfam family "Bacterial small subunit ribosomal RNA", at positions 568 to 796 of the family's 1533-position model. The record is from RNAcentral.